GCGGAUGUAGCUCAGCUGGUAGAGCGCGACCCUUCCAAGGUCGAUGUCGCGGGUUCGAUGCCCGUCAUCCGCUCCA
Molecule: transfer RNA, 76 nt
Filed under: Mycolicibacterium mageritense
Lineage: Bacteria; Bacillati; Actinomycetota; Actinomycetes; Mycobacteriales; Mycobacteriaceae
Also listed under: 2 other names
Description: tRNA-Gly
Rfam family: tRNA
About the family: Transfer RNA (tRNA) molecules are approximately 80 nucleotides in length. Their secondary structure includes four short double-helical elements and three loops (D, anti-codon, and T loops).
Source: RNAcentral